GUNUUUUUGAGUUAUUUAUAAAGUNUGGCCUGCCCACUGAUUAAAUUUGAAUGGCCGCAGUAUUUUGACUGUGCAAAGGUAGCAUAAUCAUUAGUCUUUUAAUUGAAGGCUGGAAUGAAUGGUUGGACGAAGUAUAAGCUGUUUCAAAUAAAUUUUUAAUAGAAUUUUAUAUUUUAGUUAAAAAGCUAAAAUACGGUUAAAAGACGAGAAGACCCUAUAAAUCUUUAUAUUUUAUAUUAAUUUAAUUUUUUGGUUUUGUUUUUUUAUUUUAAUAUAAAUUAUUUUAUUGGGGUGAUGUUAAAAUUUAUUUAACUUUUAUUUUUUUUUUUCAUUAAUUUAUGAUUUGUUGAUCCAUUAAUAGUGAUUAUAAGAUUAAGUUACUUUAGGGAUAACAGCGUNAUUUUUUUAGAGAGUUCUUAUUGAUAAAAAAGUUUGCGACCUCGAUGUUGGAUUAAGAUAUAUUUUUAGGUGUAGCUGCUUAAAUAUUAAGUCUGUUCGACUUUA
This 504-nucleotide ribosomal RNA is filed under the name Bistrispinaria magniceps. RNAcentral describes it as "partial 16S ribosomal RNA". The stretch from base 388 to 504 matches the Rfam family "Bacterial large subunit ribosomal RNA", at positions 2473 to 2589 of the family's 2925-position model. The record is from RNAcentral. Lineage: Eukaryota; Metazoa; Arthropoda; Insecta; Diptera; Tephritidae.